This 247-nucleotide long non-coding RNA is filed under the name Lathyrus oleraceus (garden pea). RNAcentral describes it as "Pisum sativum (pea) long non-coding RNA (PSAT_LNC013447)". The record is from RNAcentral. Lineage: Eukaryota; Viridiplantae; Streptophyta; Magnoliopsida; Fabales; Fabaceae.
AAAUCAACAACCCUCAUCUCACCGCCGUCACCUCCUUGGGUAUCUCCUCCUACCUCAUCUCAACCUAAACACUCUUCUUUCAAACCACCGUUAAACCACAUCUAAUCCACUCAAACAACCCACCACCGAGUAAGCUUUCAUCGCAAUGGAAUAACACAAAUCCCUGGUCCAGCAAGCGAAUUCGUCAAGCUUUCUUCCAAGUUUGGCAGGUGUGAUCAGCAAUCGAUUUGGUCCUAAGUGGAUUUAC